UGACCGCUGGCGGCGUGCCUAAUACAUGCAAGUCGAGCGAACAGACGCGGAGCUUGCUCCUCUGACGUUAGCGGCGGACGGGUGAGUAACACGUGGAUAACCUACCUAUAAGACUGGGAUAACUUCGGGAAACCGGAGCUAAUACCGGAUAAUAUAUUGAACCGCAUGGUUCAAUAGUGAAAGACGGUUUUGCUGUCACUUAUAGAUGGAUCCGCGCCGCAUUAGCUAGUUGGUAAGGUAACGGCUUACCAAGGCAACGAUGCGUAGCCGACCUGAGAGGGUGAUCGGCCACACUGGAACUGAGACACGGUCCAGACUCCUACGGGAGGCAGCAGUAGGGAAUCUUCCGCAAUGGGCGAAAGCCUGACGGAGCAACGCCGCGUGAGUGAUGAAGGUCUUCGGAUCGUAAAACUCUGUUAUUAGGGAAGAACAAAUGUGUAAGUAACUAUGCACGUCUUGACGGUACCUAAUCAGAAAGCCACGGCUAACUACGUG
This 495-nucleotide ribosomal RNA is filed under the name uncultured bacterium. RNAcentral's name for it is "partial 16S ribosomal RNA". It matches the Rfam family "Bacterial small subunit ribosomal RNA", at positions 30 to 507 of the family's 1533-position model. The record is from RNAcentral.